This 497-nucleotide ribosomal RNA is filed under the name uncultured bacterium. RNAcentral's name for it is "partial 16S ribosomal RNA". It matches the Rfam family "Bacterial small subunit ribosomal RNA", at positions 28 to 507 of the family's 1533-position model. The record is from RNAcentral.
GAUGAACGCUGGCGGCGUGCCUAAUACAUGCAAGUCGAGCGAACGGACGAGAAGCUUGCUUCUCUGAUGUUAGCGGCGGACGGGUGAGUAACACGUGGAUAACCUACCUAUAAGACUGGGAUAACUUCGGGAAACCGGAGCUAAUACCGGAUAAUAUUUUGAACCGCAUGGUUCAAAAGUGUAAGACGGUCUUGCUGUCACUUAUAGAUGUAUCCGCGCUGCAUUAGCUAGUUGGUAAGUUAACGGCUUACCAAGGCAACGAUGCAUAGCCGACCUGAGAGGGUGAUCGGCCACACUGGAACUGAGACACGGUCCAGACUCCUACGGGAGGCAGCAGUAGGGAAUCUUCCGCAAUGGGCGAAAGCCUGACGGAGCAACGCCGCGUGAGUGAUGAAGGUCUUCGGAUCGUAAAACUCUGUUAUUAGGGAAGAACAUAUGUGUAAGUAACUGUGCACAUCUUGACGGUACCUAAUCAGAAAGCCACGGCUAACUACGUG